This 474-nucleotide ribosomal RNA is filed under the name Salmonella enterica subsp. enterica serovar Dublin str. SA20093032. RNAcentral's name for it is "bacterial SSU rRNA". It matches the Rfam family "Bacterial small subunit ribosomal RNA", at positions 1 to 469 of the family's 1533-position model. The record is from RNAcentral. Lineage: Bacteria; Pseudomonadati; Pseudomonadota; Gammaproteobacteria; Enterobacterales; Enterobacteriaceae.
UUAAAUUGAAGAGUUUGAUCAUGGCUCAGAUUGAACGCUGGCGGCAGGCCUAACACAUGCAAGUCGAACGGUAACAGGAAGCAGCUUGCUGCUUCGCUGACGAGUGGCGGACGGGUGAGUAAUGUCUGGGAAACUGCCUGAUGGAGGGGGAUAACUACUGGAAACGGUGGCUAAUACCGCAUAACGUCGCAAGACCAAAGAGGGGGACCUUCGGGCCUCUUGCCAUCAGAUGUGCCCAGAUGGGAUUAGCUUGUUGGUGAGGUAACGGCUCACCAAGGCGACGAUCCCUAGCUGGUCUGAGAGGAUGACCAGCCACACUGGAACUGAGACACGGUCCAGACUCCUACGGGAGGCAGCAGUGGGGAAUAUUGCACAAUGGGCGCAAGCCUGAUGCAGCCAUGCCGCGUGUAUGAAGAAGGCCUUCGGGUUGUAAAGUACUUUCAGCGGGGAGGAAGGUGUUGUGGUUAAUAACCG